This 164-nucleotide ribosomal RNA is filed under the name Chascolytrum scabrum. RNAcentral describes it as "5.8S ribosomal RNA". It matches the Rfam family "5.8S ribosomal RNA". From Rfam's summary of the family: 5.8S ribosomal RNA (5.8S rRNA) is a component of the large subunit of the eukaryotic ribosome. It is transcribed by RNA polymerase I as part of the 45S precursor that also contains 18S and 28S rRNA. The record is from RNAcentral. Lineage: Eukaryota; Viridiplantae; Streptophyta; Magnoliopsida; Poales; Poaceae.
CCACACGACUCUCGGCAACGGAUAUCUCGGCUCUCGCAUCGAUGAAGAACGUAGCGAAAUGCGAUACCUGGUGUGAAUUGCAGAAUCCCGCGAACCAUCGAGUCNNUGAACGCAAGUUGCGCCCGAGGCCAUUCGGCCGAGGGCACGCCUGCCUGGGCGUCACG